This is a long non-coding RNA of Pieris napi, 517 nucleotides long. RefSeq lists it as uncharacterized. NCBI's taxonomy places the organism in Eukaryota, Metazoa, Arthropoda, Insecta, Lepidoptera, Pieridae. The transcript has 2 exons. The record is from RefSeq and is a predicted model, not a curated record.
ACGGUCUUACUAAUAAAAAAUCACUAUACAUGCGUUAUGACAAGGUGAUAGUAAUUCAGUGAAUAGAGCUUGUACAGGGCAUAAACUCCUCUUUGACCAAUAAUCGAUGUGUAUUGGUUGAAUAACAAAACGACCCUUAUUUAUUGUUACCCUGGCAACCCGCCGUGUUUGAUUGACGUUUGAUUUAAUAAUUUUGAUACGACUCAUAAUUCUAAUGUAAGUUGUAUUUAUUUUAUCAACCAAAGCAAUUAUAUACACAUUUACUCAAUAUACUAAUAACAUUUUAUUAUUUGCAGCUAAUAGAAACUCCAAAACCUCAGACAAAGAGGACUAGAAUUUUACAUAAAAAGCCGCGUUCUGCAGUACAAAAGUUAGAAGAGGCUCAAACAGAAGCGACUCGCCGAAGCUCACGAAAGGGCUAGACAGAAGCAUCUUCUAAGGCUCAAAUUGUUACAGCAGCAAUUAAAUAAAUAAUUAUAUACUUAUAAAAAAAAUAAAACCCCCGUUUUAAAUGAAA